CAUCUUGUCCGUCUUAGCUAUACAUUACAUCCAUGGCGGCAAAGAUGGCGCAGAACGUGGACAAGCCGCUCUUCACCGCGGCGUUCAACGUGAAGCCAAAUGAAGAAGACAAUGCAUGUACCGCCUCACGUGUGUACUGGCCGUAAUUUAGAUGAUCAGGUUCUUUAUGGUGAGACCGUUCUAUCGAGUUUCAAGUCCUAGACUUGGCUGGUAGUAGCAUUUUACUGAAUUUAUUUCAGGCUAUCGACGACGUUCCUUCAGUGGGAUGAAACGCUCCUGUCAACUACGAAACGUCGAUGAUGAUUUCGCCAACAUCAAGAUGUGAUACCAAUUUAGUAUCUUAGAGAUGCUAAUAAAGAUAGAGUGUAU
This 369-nucleotide long non-coding RNA is filed under the name Hordeum vulgare. RNAcentral's name for it is "long non-coding RNA (HVUL_LNC018610)". Lineage: Eukaryota; Viridiplantae; Streptophyta; Magnoliopsida; Poales; Poaceae. The record is from RNAcentral.